Elaeis guineensis (African oil palm) is the source of this 2145-nucleotide RNA transcript. It is a transcript of the gene named transcription factor bHLH144, with no coding region annotated. The record is from RefSeq and is a predicted model, not a curated record. NCBI's taxonomy places the organism in Eukaryota, Viridiplantae, Streptophyta, Magnoliopsida, Arecales, Arecaceae.
CCUUGUGAAAAGAAAUAACGGGCAACAGGAUUUAUACGAGAGUGUUGGUGUGAGGCCUCCUCGGGCUGGGUAUCUCAGUUUGAGACGCACCGGCUCCACCGCUUUGUCUCCUGGAGAGACUGGAAAGCCCUCCCCUUUGCCGUAUUUUUGUUUUCCCCCCUCUUUUCUCUCUUCCAUCUCUCGCCGUCUAUUCGUCCGGAAGUUAACUGAAUCCCAGCUCGCUUCGCUCGGUUCUGAUUCCAGAGAAGGAGUUAAAAUCGGACAGUAUGCCGUGGGUGUCGUGGACGACCAACUAUUUCGCGGAGUGCGUGCGCUUGGCCGUCUUCUUCCGUGUUAUUCUUUGACGACGUGGAUUUUGAUCAUCGGGAGUACUCUUCGCCGAAUUUUGAUUAUAUCGAGUUGAGGAAGUUAGAAUGUACGUUGCGGUCAAUCUGAAGAUAAACCGGAUAGUGAAGAAGGCUGGAGACGUUAUAAUGAGCGUUAGAAUUAUUGCUUAUUAUCAAUUGAUGCAAGUUUGUCAGGCUGAGUACUUCCGCCAGUUGCUUAAGCCUGUCACGUAGAUUGAACUCCUAGGUCGAACGUAAGUUGAUCUGCAACACGUGGGCAACACCUUCUUUUUCCUUCGUUACUUGAUCCAUCUCAAAGAAAUUUUUGAUGAAGUCCAAUCAGGAAGAGAGCCAACUCACGAAAGAUAAGCUCUUCUUUACUUGUUAGAAUCAAAUGGCUACUCUGACUGGGAUGUUUGAUUGAAGAAUUCCAACAUUUCCAACUUAGUACUUUCAGAUCAUUCUUGUUAGCAGCAGUUAAACACAGGUCAGAUCACUUCCAUUUACAGCAGUGUAGCAGUCUGAUAAUACCCGGUCGAGACCUAUGCAGAGAGACCGAAGAUUCUUUUCUAAGAAGGCUUCCCGAUCUCGUGGUUAUGAAGUGGGCAGUUGUGCUCUUGACUCUGCUGCUGGGGCUUGCGAUGCUGAUGAUUCUGCCGCUGCGCCUUCCUUUGGCGAAGCUCUGACAGGCAUGAAGCAUCAUGAAUUUCCCGUUCCACUUAAUGGAGUUGAGUUCCAACCCUCUGAAACAUGUCCUAAGAACUUCGUCAUCUUCGACCAGACGUAUAACAAAAGCCGGGUCAUGUUCCACCCUUCUUUGGCCCACAAUUUUGGCUCUUCAAGCUUUGAUGUACAUGGAACUCAUGCCCAUGAAGCUGGCAAAAGUAUGGAUGGAGAUGACUACAACAAGGGAGAGUAUUCCUCUCCUCACAUAGAGGAUGCGGAAGAAAUCGAUGCAUUGCUUAGUUCAGAGGAAGAAGAUGAUGAUGUGGUCAGCACCGGUCGGACUCCAGGCAAUUGGGUUGGCAGUUCUCCGGAUUCGUCCUGUUCAUUUUCAGAUGGAAUUAGAUCUAGCAAGUCGAAGUUCAAUUCUACUGAUGCGAGCAGCAGCGAGAGGAAGCGGGAGAAAAUGAAGAAGAUGGUUAAAACACUUCGAGGAAUCAUUCCCGGUGGAGACCGGAUGGACACGCCUGCCGUUCUCGACGAAGCUGUCAAGUACCUGAAAUCCCUCAAGGUGGAAGUGAAGAAGCUUGGAGUGCAGAAUUUGGACAGCUGAAAUGGCGCGCAUGGUGGGUAGUCUCACUAAGCUUACCACUCAAAAGGAAACUGAAUCCUCAUCUAAAAGCAUAAACUGUCAUGAUGCUGUAUGUUGGUUGUGUUAUUUAUGCCCCACGUACGCCGGCUUUAUGCUCCAUGGCGAGAGCAUGGAUGGAGACAAGUGGGGACAAAAAUGCUGCAGCAGCGAGGGAGUGGAGAGGAUCUGGUAAAGAAGCAAACAAAAGCUAGCAUACACGAGACAUUUGAAUCGAGUGCAAUGAUGGACGUGGCGUCCUUUUGGUCAAGCCCAUGAAACCCUGCACUUGAUAGUCUGCAGCAUCUCUCUCUCCACCUUGUAGUUUGUGAGCAGUGUAACUCGAGAGGUUGGAAAUGACCCUUUCCUAUGUUUGGGUGGUGCAGGUAUUUUCAUUUCUUUCUCAAGUCUGAGAUUUCUACACAGCUGUCGUGUUGGUUCUUUCUUAUUAGGUGACAUGUCUUCGAAUUGGAAUAUGCAGUGGUAAAAGCUUUGUGGAGGGGUUUCCUUCUCUUAAUUUUCUUUGUG